UGACGGUCGCGUGGCGAGAUCUGCGCCCGCGUGGUUCUGACAUCACUUCCCCGGUGUCAGACCCAGCGGACGCAGAUCUGGCCACACGACAUCAGCCGG
Molecule: non-coding RNA, 99 nt
Filed under: Aeromicrobium sp. 9AM
Lineage: Bacteria; Bacillati; Actinomycetota; Actinomycetes; Propionibacteriales; Nocardioidaceae
Description: mraW
Rfam family: mraW RNA
Source: RNAcentral